This 253-nucleotide ribosomal RNA is filed under the name uncultured bacterium. Its description in RNAcentral is "partial 16S ribosomal RNA". It matches the Rfam family "Bacterial small subunit ribosomal RNA", at positions 524 to 776 of the family's 1533-position model. The record is from RNAcentral.
UACAGGGGGGGCAAGCGUUGUUCGGAAUUACUGGGCGUAAAGGGUUCGUAGGUGGCCACUUAAGUCAGACGUGAAAUCCCUCAGCUUAACUGGGGAACUGCGUCUGAUACUGAGUGGCUUGAGUGCAGGAGAGGAAUGCGGAAUUCCAGGUGUAGCGGUGAAAUGCGUAGAUAUCUGGAGGAACACCGGUGGCGAAGGCGGCAUUCUGGACUGUAACUGACGCUGAGGAGCGAAAGCGUGGGGAGCGAACAGG